This is a long non-coding RNA of Gossypium arboreum, 201 nucleotides long. RefSeq lists it as uncharacterized. The transcript has 3 exons. Lineage: Eukaryota; Viridiplantae; Streptophyta; Magnoliopsida; Malvales; Malvaceae. The record is from RefSeq and is a predicted model, not a curated record.
CGUACAUAUGCUAUCCGGGCAAGGGAAGAAGCUUCUGCUCCAGAUGUGAUAGCUGAUCAAGAAUCCAAAGAAGAACGAGGAAAAGAAAAAGUUGCGGAAUAGUCCCAAAAUUUCAAUAUCUUCUACAAAUUAGCCGGAUUGACUUGAAGUGAAGUGGGUAGAUCGGAUCAACACAACAAAGCACACUAUCCAGAUCAAUUC